AUGAACAUUGCUUUUGUGUGGGCAUAUUACUGCGUGCCCUGUGUUGUGGUUUGCGUGUAUGUGUGUUUGCGUGUAUGUGUGUGUGUGUGUGUGUGUGUGUGUGUGUGUGUGCGUGUGUGUGUGUGUGUGUGCGUGUGCGUGUGCACGUGCGUGUGCACGUGCGCGGUCGCUGUGUUGUCCCGUCACAGCUGCAGCAGAGCCGGAUUGAUGUGUAACCCAAGCCGGCACUUUAAAGGGCGAGAGGCCUGGGCAGACGUGGUCCUGCUAGUAUACCAGAUGGGGCUUUAUGAUGAAAAGAGCGUAAUCCCCCAUCCAGGCAUCACUUCCAUCACUCCUGCACUACAAAGCCACUCACAGCAUUUUAUUGCUGGAAAUAAUCUCUUUUUUCAGCUCCACCAAACAGUUUUCAAUGUUUCUACCCUUCAUCCAGACUGAUAGCAUCUCAUUCUUUAUCAUCAAUACUUGGACUUUGUCUGAUCUUGUGAAGGUUUUCUUUAAUUAUUUCUGUAUUUCAGCAGGUUUGACUGGUGGCGCCUGCGUUUGGCAGGCCUCGCCCCAGUCAGUGCACCGAGGGCAGCUGGGGCUACGUUGUAGCUCAUCAUCACCAGCGUGCAAAUGUGUGUGUGAAUGGGUGAAUAACUGAUUGUGUUCUGAAGCGCCUUGGGGGUUGUGGAACCCCAAGAAAUCGUAAUACAAAUACAGGCCAUUACCAUACAGAAGUGUGUGACCUUCUCAAGUAUUUUGCCACUUGUCAGUUUCAUUUUUACCCCUUUUCUCUCCUUUGGCCUUUUUCUUCUACAGUCUUAUCUUUAACAGACAUCAUGUGCUUUAACUUUUAUGCUUACUUGUCUCAUGAAAAGAUUUUUAUGUGUUUUGCAAAAUACAUCUUGCUCAGGGACAGCAGUCGAAUAUUAGCUCUGGAGCUUACACUGACACAUUUACAGAAAGUCCAUUAAUGUGUACUGUCCCUGUUAAACAAAUAAAUAAUCAGGCCAUCAGUGUCUUGCCCAAAGACACAACAGCAGAGAUCUCUGCCCGGAGCUGAGAUCGAGACUGGACAACCCGCUCUACCUCCUGAGCUUCUGCUGCCCCUAGCUAGGCAGGGCUUUGAAUAAACUACGGUUUCAAAAACACAACAUGAAGGCACCUGUAAAAUUCUGCCUUUUUUUCUUUCACAAUGCAAGUAAGCAGCGAGUCUUUGUCUAGUUUGUAUUGAAAUGUAAAUAAAUCAACAUUCAGCUUAUCUCCUUUUACCAAAACAAUAGAAUUCAACUCCCAUAGUUCGUGUCUGAUUAGCUGUUAGCUCGAUUCCUUUGUGAGAAUUUUUCUUUCAAACAGAGAACAUUCUGACUGCAGUCUGUUGCAGGUAAGAUACUGACUGAUCUCUACAGCCUAAACUAUCCCUUCAAGCUUCACCAUUUUGCCUCCAGCCUUCACACAACCCUUUCUUUCUUCCACUCCCCACCACCACCCCACCUGGCUGGACUCCAGCUAUAGAUUGUUAAUUAUGGUUUGAACGUGAUGCGCAGCCUUGCCUCACAAUACUACAGCUGUAUUCUUUGGCAGACAUCAAAGUGUUGGUGUUUCAUUCCAUGGGGAUUAGUGAUGGUAGUGUGAUAAUGCCCCUGCCUGCUCGCUGAAUUAAACGCCUAUGGCUGGGUGCAGGUACCGGGAAUCAAAAGAACACAGUCACACACACCGCACACACUCCAGCAAUGGAUGAAAAGAUGCAGGUCUGACAGAUUCAGACAUGUUACAAAUACAGUCUCCGUAGAGGGAUAUACAGCAAGAUUAAACUCAUCUGAUCCUUUCCAGAACAAAACAUCCGUGCAUUAGUCAGCACUGACCACUCGUGCCCCCCACUCAUGGCAAAUUGGAUUUCUAAACAGCUGUUUUCUUCAUUUCCCUGUACUCACUGACAGCAGUCUUCUUUAUCACUGUUCAUCUUCUUUUUCCCCAUCUCCUCAGCAAAGGUAUUGAAUAAAAAUGUUGGAAACAUCAAUAAACUGUUUAGAAAAGCCAUCUCUAUUGCAACUCUCACCAUCAUUUGUACAAAGGACAAAUGACAAGUGUUUAAAAGGCUGCAGGGCGUUUUAAUGUUGGGUUUGUAUUUUCUCUCGCCGACUAUGAAGGUCUCGGGAGACGGACGGAAAAACAGCAUGAAAGGAAAUUUACAGAGUCAGAGGGAAAAGCAGAGGGAGGGAGCGCGAUAGAAACUCGUCCUUGGUGAUCAAUGUGUUGUGCUAUUGUCUGUUCUGCUUCUUUGUCCAAAAGGACGAAGGUGGAGAGGAUAGGAAGCGAGUGAUGCAUAGGAACUGUUCACAGGCCUAAAACUGAAAAUGUGACCAGAAUCUGGGUUUGGAUGAACCAGUGUGUUAGUUUCUUUGGUGUGUUUAGAUAGUAGACUUGGGGUAUUUCUCAAUGUCAAGGCGCCUGGCCUUGUGAGGCAAUGUCUUGCGAGGUCAGGCACCUUGCUGCUUUCGCGGCGGUCACGUAAUGUCACGUGACACAGGAGAUAAUGUUAUAGUUAUGUAUAAUGAGCUGUUUACUUUUUAAAUUGUGUAUAUAUUUGUUAAAUUUAUAUAUAUAU
Molecule: long non-coding RNA, 2590 nt
Organism: Nothobranchius furzeri (turquoise killifish)
Lineage: Eukaryota; Metazoa; Chordata; Actinopteri; Cyprinodontiformes; Nothobranchiidae
Source: Ensembl